AACGCACAUUGCGCCCGCCAGUAUUCUGGCGGGCAUGCCUGUUCGAGCGUCAUUUCAACCCUCAAGCCCAGCUUGGUGUUGGAGAUCGGCACAAGCGUCCUCCGGGUCGCCGCCGUCUCCCAAAUCUAGUGGCGGUCUCGCUGUAGCGUCCUCUGCGUAGUAAUUAACCUCGCACUGGAACGCGGCGCGGCCACGCCGUUAAACCCCCCACUUCUGAAGUUUGACCUCGGAUCAGGUAGGACUACCCGCUGAACUUAA
RNAcentral lists this unclassified non-coding RNA (258 nucleotides) under uncultured fungus. RNAcentral describes it as "sequence contains ITS2". The stretch from base 1 to 52 matches the Rfam family "5.8S ribosomal RNA", at positions 103 to 154 of the family's 154-position model. Lineage: Eukaryota; Fungi. The record is from RNAcentral.